GGUAUUAUAUUUUAAAAAGAAAAUUUAAUUUGCAAUUAAAAAGUAUGAAAUUAAUCUUUAUUACCA
This 66-nucleotide transfer RNA is filed under the name Cirrothauma murrayi. RNAcentral describes it as "tRNA-Ala". Lineage: Eukaryota; Metazoa; Mollusca; Cephalopoda; Octopoda; Cirroteuthidae. The record is from RNAcentral.